RNAcentral lists this ribosomal RNA (497 nucleotides) under uncultured bacterium. RNAcentral's name for it is "partial 16S ribosomal RNA". It matches the Rfam family "Bacterial small subunit ribosomal RNA", at positions 28 to 507 of the family's 1533-position model. The record is from RNAcentral.
GAUGAACGCUGGCGGCGUGCCUAAUACAUGCAAGUCGAGCGAACAGACGAGGAGCUUGCUCCUCUGACGUUAGCGGCGGACGGGUGAGUAACACGUGGAUAACCUACCUAUAAGACUGGGAUAACUUCGUGAAACCGGAGCUAAUACCGGAUAACAUGUUGAACCGCAUGGUUCAACAGUGAAAGACGGUCUUGCUGUCACUUAUAGAUGGAUCCGCGCCGCAUUAUCUAGCUGGUAAGGUAACGGCUUACCAAGGCAACGAUGCGUAGCCGACCUGGGAGGGUGAUCGGCCACACUGGAACUGAGCAACGGUCCAGACUCUUACGGGAGGAAGCAGUAGGGAAUCUUCCGAAAUGGGCGAAAGCCUGACGGAGCAAGGCGGCGUGAGUGAAGAAGGUCUUGGGAUCGUAAAACUCUGUUAUUAGGGAAGAACAAAUGUGUAAGUAACUAUGCACGUCUUGACGGUACCUAAUCAGAAAGCCACGGCUAACUACGUG